GAUGAAGAACGUAGCGAAAUGCGAUACUUGGUGUGAAUUGCAGAAUCCCGUGAACCAUCGAGUCUUUGAACGCAAGUUGCGCCCGAAGCCAUUAGGCCGAGGGCACGCCUGCCUGGGCGUCACACGUCGUUGCCCCCCCAUCUACUCCUUCGGGAUUGCGGGGGGCGGAUGAUGGCCUCCCGUGCGCCUCGUCGCGCGGUUGGCAUAAAUGCCAAGUCCUCGGCGACGCACGCCACGACAAUCGGUGGUUGCGAAACCUCGGUUGCCCGUCGUGUGCGGUCGUCGCGCAUCGAGGGCUCGAAAAAAUUGUCGGGCUCCGGCUCGGCUUUCAACGCGACCCCAGGUCAGGCGGGGUUACCCGCUGAAUUUAAGCAUAUCCAUAAGCGGAGGA
This 391-nucleotide unclassified non-coding RNA is filed under the name soil metagenome. RNAcentral describes it as "partial contains 5.8S ribosomal RNA, internal transcribed spacer 2, and large subunit ribosomal RNA". The stretch from base 1 to 122 matches the Rfam family "5.8S ribosomal RNA", at positions 35 to 154 of the family's 154-position model. The record is from RNAcentral.